RNAcentral lists this ribosomal RNA (513 nucleotides) under uncultured bacterium. Its description in RNAcentral is "bacterial SSU rRNA". It matches the Rfam family "Bacterial small subunit ribosomal RNA", at positions 17 to 518 of the family's 1533-position model. The record is from RNAcentral.
UCCUGGCUCAGGAUGAACGCUAGCUACAGGCUUAACACAUGCAAGGUCGAGGGGCAGCAUGAUCGAAGCUUGCUUUGAUUGAUGGCGACCGGCGCACGGGUGAGUAACGCGUAUCCAACCUUCCCUAUAGUAGAGGAUAGCCCGGCGAAAGUCGGAUUAAUACUCUAUGUUUUCCAGUGCAGACAUCUAAAAUGGAACAAAGGUUUACCGCUAUAGGAUGGGGAUGCGUCUGAUUAGGUUGUUGGCGGGGUAACGGCCCACCAAGCCUACGAUCAGUAGGGGUUCUGAGAGGAAGGUCCCCCACAUUGGAACUGAGACACGGUCCAAACUCCUACGGGAGGCAGCAGUGAGGAAUAUUGGUCAAUGGGCGAGAGCCUGAACCAGCCAAGUAGCGUGCAGGAUGACGGCCCUAUGGGUUGUAAACUGCUUUUAUAUAGGGAUAAAGUGACCCACGUGUGGGUUUUUGUAGGUACUAUAUGAAUAAGGACCGGCUAAUUCCGUGCCAGCCGCCGC